Molecule: RNase P RNA, 351 nt
Filed under: Alphaproteobacteria bacterium
Lineage: Bacteria; Pseudomonadati; Pseudomonadota; Alphaproteobacteria
Description: RNase P RNA component class A
Rfam family: Bacterial RNase P class A
About the family: Ribonuclease P (RNase P) is a ubiquitous endoribonuclease, found in archaea, bacteria and eukarya as well as chloroplasts and mitochondria. Its best characterised activity is the generation of mature 5'-ends of tRNAs by cleaving the 5'-leader elements of precursor-tRNAs. Cellular RNase Ps are ribonucleoproteins.
Source: RNAcentral
GCAGAUGGUCGGAGAGGUGCUGCGGUGACGCAGAGGAAAGUCCGAACUCUAUAAAGACACGGUGCCGGAUAACGUCCGGCGAGGGCAACCUUAGGGAAAGUGCAACAGAAAGUAAACCGCCUGGCAACAGGUAAGGGUGAAAGGGUGUGGUAAGAGCGCACCGCGCCUUUGGUAACAAAGGUGGCACGGCAAACCCCACCGAGAGCAAGACCAAAUAGGGGUGGCGCAUGACCUGUCUUUGGGUCGUCACCCGGGUCGGUCGCAUGAGGCAUAAGGUAACUUAUGUCCCAGAUGAAUACCUCUCCCCUGGGUUUCCAGGGACAGAAUUCGGCUUACAGACCAUCUGCUUAU